CCUACGGGUGGCAGCAGUGGGGAAUAUUGCACAAUGGGGGGAACCUUGAUGCAGCAACGCCGCGUGGGUGAAGAAGUACUCCGGUAUGUAAAGCCCUGUCAGCAGGGAAGAAAAUGACGGUACCUGACCAAGAAGCCCCGGCUAACUACGUGCCAGCAGCCACGGUAAUACGUAGGGGGCAAGCGUUAUCCGGAUUUACUGGGUGUAAAGGGAGCGUAGACGGCUGUGCAAGCCAGAUGUGAAAGCCCGGGGCUCAACCCCGGGACUGCAUUUGGAACUGUGUGGCUGGAGUGUCGGAGAGGCAGGCGGAAUGCCUAGUGUAGCGGUGAAAUGCGUAGAUAUUAGGAGGAACACCAGUGGCGAAGGCGGCCUGCUGGACGAUGACUGACGUUGAGGCUCGAAAGCGUGGGGAGCGAACAGGAUUAGAUACCCGAGUAGUC
RNAcentral lists this ribosomal RNA (440 nucleotides) under uncultured bacterium. Its description in RNAcentral is "partial 16S ribosomal RNA". It matches the Rfam family "Bacterial small subunit ribosomal RNA", at positions 338 to 795 of the family's 1533-position model. The record is from RNAcentral.